This 406-nucleotide ribosomal RNA is filed under the name uncultured bacterium. RNAcentral describes it as "partial 16S ribosomal RNA". It matches the Rfam family "Bacterial small subunit ribosomal RNA", at positions 30 to 526 of the family's 1533-position model. The record is from RNAcentral.
AUUGAACGCUGGCGGCAGGCUUAACACAUGCAAGUCGAGCGAGCGGCGGACGGGUGAGUAAUGUCUGGGAAACUGCCUGAUGGUGGGGAAUAUCUCCUGGAAACGGUGGCUAAUACCGCAUACCCUCAUCUGUGCCCAGAUGGGAUUAGCUAGUAGGUGGGGUAAUGGCUCACCUAGGCGACGAUCCCUCGCUGGUCUGAGAGGUUGACCAGCCACACUGGAACUGAGACACGGUACAGACGCCUACGGGAGGCAGCAGUGGGGAAGAUUGCACAAUGGGCGCAAGCCUGAUGCAGCGAUGCCGCGUGUGUGAAGAAGGCCUUCGGGUUGUAAAGCACUUUCAGCGAGGAGGCGUUACUCGCAGAAGAAGCACCGGCUAGCUCCGAGCCAGCCGCCGCGGUAAUUC